AUCCCCCAGUGCAUGGGAGGCCGGCUCCUGGCUGACUGCUCAGGUCCGCCAGUGCGUGCAUCCUCAAGCUCAGCCUCUGCUUUGCUGCAUCCUGCAUUUUCCUUCCUGUGCACGGAACCUUAUGCCCCAGGAGUCUUACGUGCUUCCACAUAAGCCAUAACCCCCUAUGGGAUGGCAUUUUUGGAGAUAGAUACCUGAGAGAGAUUGUUGGACCAUAUGAAAGAUUUAUUUUCAGCAUUUUGAGCAACUUCCAUGCUGUUUUCCGGAAGGCCAGCUAGUGCACAGAUCGUGAAAAUGGCAAAAUACAAACAAGCUUCUUUGUACUGACAGUGUCUGAGACUAA
This is a long non-coding RNA of Talpa occidentalis (Iberian mole), 343 nucleotides long. RefSeq lists it as uncharacterized. The transcript has 3 exons. The record is from RefSeq and is a predicted model, not a curated record. Lineage: Eukaryota; Metazoa; Chordata; Mammalia; Eulipotyphla; Talpidae.